UUGGAGGGCAAGUCUGGUGCCAGCAGCCGCGGUAAUUCCAGCUCCAAUAGCGUAUAUUAAAGUUGUUGCAGUUAAAAAGCUCGUAGUUGAUUUUCUGUUAAUUUUUAUGUAUAAUAUUGCGAUAUUUACAUAAUAUUAACAUGAUUCACAUUACUUUACAGUAUGUGGAAUUUUACUUUGAGAAAAUUAGAGUGCUUAAAGCAGGCUAUUGCCUUGAAUACUCCAGCAUGGAAUAAUAUUAAGGAUUUUUAUUCUUCUUAUUGGUUCUAGAAUAAAAAUAAUGAUUAAUAGGAACAGUUGGGGGCAUUUGUAUUUAACAGUUAGAGGUGAAAUUYUUAGAUUUGUUAAAGACAAACUACUGCGAAAGCAUUUGCCAAGGAUGUUUUCGUUAAUCAAGAACGAAAGUUAGGGGAUCGAAGACGAUCAGAUACCGUCGUAGUCUUAACCAUAAACUAUGCCAACUAGAGAUUGGAGGUUGUUCCUUACUCCUUC
Molecule: ribosomal RNA, 492 nt
Filed under: Cryptosporidium scrofarum
Lineage: Eukaryota; Apicomplexa; Conoidasida; Eucoccidiorida; Cryptosporidiidae
Description: SSU rRNA
Source: RNAcentral